UACGUAGGUGGCAAGCGUUAUCCGGAAUUAUUGGGCGUAAAGCGCGCGCAGGUGGUUUCUUAAGUCUGAUGUGAAAGCCCACGGCUCAACCGUGGAGGGUCAUUGGAAACUGGGAGACUUGAGUGCAGAAGAGGAAAGUGGAAUUCCAUGUGUAGCGGUGAAAUGCGUAGAGAUAUGGAGGAACACCAGUGGCGAAGGCGGCUACCUGGACAGAAACUGACGCUGAGGCACGAAAGCUAGGGGAGCAAACAGG
RNAcentral lists this ribosomal RNA (253 nucleotides) under uncultured bacterium. RNAcentral's name for it is "partial 16S ribosomal RNA". It matches the Rfam family "Bacterial small subunit ribosomal RNA", at positions 524 to 776 of the family's 1533-position model. The record is from RNAcentral.